UAUAUAUAUGUAUUCAUAGACAAAAAAGUACUAAUUGCUGAAAAGCUGCCGGUCAUGCUAUGAAUAUCAAAUUGCAAAUAUCUCAAAACAAGGUUUACAUACAUACGCACGCACGCGCAUAUACGUGUAUGUAUGUUUGUGUGCAUAUAUAUGUAUAUAUAUAUAUAUAUAUAUAUAUAUAUAUAUAUAUAUAUAUAUAUAUAUAUAUAUACAUUUAAAUAUACGCACAUUGUCCUAAUACGGUACUACGGUAGAACAUAUUUUAUAAUAGCAAAUUCACAGGCCUCACACAGUGUUUGAAAUAAAAAAAAGUUAGAGUGAAAAUAAAAGAGAAGGAAAACAUGGCGUGACACCCCAGUGCUGUCUGAAUACAGUUAGCUCUGCACUCCACGUACUUUGCAAUGGGUCUCCUUAAGUGGGUGAUUGCACUCUGCCUCCUCGGUGUGUGGCAACUUCUCUUACGUCCGGCAUCCCGGGUGCACCAACGCAGGGCGCUUCUUACACGGAUUAUUUCGGAAACACAUUUUCAAGAAGAGCUUUAACUGUGUAAAUUGCAAAAUGCCAUAACAGCUUCUCAUGAACCACUUACGGCUUCCUCAUUGCUGGAUCAUGGCAUGGUGUCAUCAUGAAAAAUUCUUCGACUGAAAUGAAUAAAUACAUCAACAUGUAAA
RNAcentral lists this long non-coding RNA (671 nucleotides) under Penaeus japonicus. RNAcentral's name for it is "uncharacterized LOC122257357". Lineage: Eukaryota; Metazoa; Arthropoda; Malacostraca; Decapoda; Penaeidae. The record is from RNAcentral.